AGUACGGCGAGUGAGCGGCAAAGCUCAAUUUGAAAUCCCCCGGAAUUGUGUUUGAAGAGAUUUGGGUCCGGCCGGCGGGGGUUAAGUCCACUGGAAAGUGGCGCCACAGAGGGUGACAGCCCCGUGAACCCCUUCAACGCCCUCAUCCCAGAUCUCCAAGAGUCGAGUUGUUUGGGAAUGCAGCUCUAAGUGGGUGGUAAAUUCCAUCUAAAGCUAAAUACCGGCGAGAGACCGAUAGCGAACAAGUACA
RNAcentral lists this ribosomal RNA (250 nucleotides) under Metschnikowia sp. (in: budding yeasts & allies). RNAcentral describes it as "Metschnikowia sp. (in: Fungi) partial large subunit ribosomal RNA". It matches the Rfam family "Eukaryotic large subunit ribosomal RNA", at positions 82 to 352 of the family's 3401-position model. The record is from RNAcentral. Lineage: Eukaryota; Fungi; Ascomycota; Pichiomycetes; Serinales; Metschnikowiaceae.